AAAUCUAUGCCCCUUGCUGAGGAAUAAGAUUCCACAUUUGCCAAGAUUGGCGUUUCUCAUGGACUAUUCCUAAAACAUCUGGCAGACGAGAUGAGUCCACGUUGUUUCUGACUAAAUGUAACAGAAGGCUGUGCUUGGCUCUCUUUGGUUUGGGGCUCAACUUGGAUGAAUAAUCAUCUAACAGCAGACUGGAAUCUGAAAAGAAAACCAAGAUCCAAAUAUAUACAUAACAGAGGGAAGGCCACAUGGAGACACAGGGAGAAGACAGCCAUCCAUGAGCCGAAAAGAGACCUGAGAAGAAACCACCCAGCUGACACCUUGAUCUUGGACUUCCAGCCUCCAGAGUUGUAAGGCCAUGGAGAUACUUCUACGAACGAAGAAGACAGAAAACCCUACCAGAAUUGACUGAAAAGUUGAGCAAGGGGCAGGAAAGAAAAAGAGGUGGCAAAGGUAGCAACAACUAUGUUCUGUUCCAGAAAGCAUAAGCCACAGCCCCCACCACAGUGCUUGGUAAUGCGGUUGCUGUUUAAUAUCUGCUAACUGAGUGGAAGGAAGACAAGACAAUUACCUGACUCAAAGAGAAGCAAAAGAAUGCUGCCUUCAAGCUGAGGGGAAGACUGAACUGGCCGUUUCCUUCUGCUCUAAAGUGUCCUCUGGAGAGGACGUUGGCGGAGCUGGUGCUCUCGUGGUGGCAGGCCACCACCCUGUGGAGGUGUCCAUGCAUUGCAAGUGCUCGCAAGCUCCAGGAACAAACGCAUCCGCGCAGCCGUCUGGGGUUUGUCCCGUCGCUGCCAGCCCUUUCGCCGAGUCCCCGCCCUCGCCGAUAAGAGCCCACUUAGGACCCCCGUUACAUGGAUGGCUUCCCAGGACCUGCCCUUAAAGACUCUGAUUUAGUAGGUUGGAAAUGAUGCAAUUAUUUUUAUUUUUAAUUAGUACCCCAAGUCAUUCUUUACCAUCAAGGAAGUUUGGGAAACAAAUCACGUUUGUUUCAACCACCUGUGGAACGUUUGUUUCAAUCACCUGUGGAACUGGAGCAAUUAUUUUUUUCCCCAGUGACUUUACCACAAAGUUAACUUUGGAAUAUGUUAGUGGUUAAUACACGGAACGUUCCCGAGAUCCCUCAAGAAAGAAGCUACGAAUACUUAGAAGAUACUAUUCCGCAGCGUUUACAGCAACACUGUCCGUUCCAGAAGGAUUCAAGUGACGGCCUGCUUUGAAGGCGAAAACCACAGGGCAACCCAAACUUCAGAAGGGUUCUGGCCACGGGAGCCACACCGGUCACUGUCCCCUAGUGCUGGGAUGACGGCUCGAGUGUUAGAGGAUCCCACUCACUCCUCUGGUAGAUGAGGUCAGAGAGCCGAGGGGGCCAGAACAAGUCUUCCUUAUCGGAUUCUGGGCGGAAAAAGAUAAAGGCGGGGAGGACUUUCUCUUUUUAAUAAGAUUCAUUGUUACGAAUUGUUCUAGGCAAACAGACCUCAGGAGAAAUAGGCCCAAGUUUUGAUUCCUGUUUUCACCAAGCCGCAAGUCCUAAUCGUAGCAAGAGGUGCGGGGAAGAGUCGCCUUCUCUCCUGCCUAGUGGGAUCCAAGUCAGGCUGUCCUUGUCAGCCAGGGUCAAAGGGGCUCUGCCAGGGAAAAACGACGGCAAAUGUUUUUCAAGUGGAAGCCUCCAGCCACUUGUGACCUGUGAAAUCCGUCUGGGCCAAAAAGAUAGUGGACGCUUGGUUGAGGGCCCCAGGGACACAAGUUUCCUCCUGUAUGGAGGGAGCGGGACUCUUCAUAAAAUUACACUGCACAC
Molecule: long non-coding RNA, 1795 nt
Organism: Nomascus leucogenys (northern white-cheeked gibbon)
Lineage: Eukaryota; Metazoa; Chordata; Mammalia; Primates; Hylobatidae
Exons: 5
Source: RefSeq, a predicted model, not a curated record